This 353-nucleotide ribosomal RNA is filed under the name uncultured Anoxybacillus sp. RNAcentral's name for it is "bacterial SSU rRNA". It matches the Rfam family "Bacterial small subunit ribosomal RNA", at positions 1027 to 1382 of the family's 1533-position model. Lineage: Bacteria; Bacillati; Bacillota; Bacilli; Caryophanales; Anoxybacillaceae. The record is from RNAcentral.
GAGGGUGACAGGUGGUGCAUGGUUGUCGUCAGCUCGUGUCGUGAGAUGUUGGUUAAGUCCCGCAACGAGCGCAACCCUCGACCUUAGUUGCCAGCAUUCAGUUGGGCACUCUAAGGUGACUGCCGGCUAAAAGUCGGAGGAAGGUGGGGAUGACGUCAAAUCAUCAUGCCCCUUAUGACCUGGGCUACACACGUGCUACAAUGGGCGGUACAAAGGGUCGCGAGCCCGCGAGGGGGAGCCAAUCCCAAAAAGCCGCUCUCAGUUCGGAUUGCAGGCUGCAACUCGCCUGCAUGAAGCCGGAAUCGCUAGUAAUCGCGGAUCAGCAUGCCGCGGUGAAUACGUUCCCGGGCCUU